Molecule: ribosomal RNA, 1132 nt
Filed under: Austropleospora ochracea
Lineage: Eukaryota; Fungi; Ascomycota; Dothideomycetes; Pleosporales; Didymosphaeriaceae
Description: SSU rRNA
Rfam family: Eukaryotic small subunit ribosomal RNA
Source: RNAcentral
UGCUGUCUCAAAGAUUAAGACAGGCCAUGUCUAAGUAUAAGCAAUUAUACCGUGAAACUGCGAAUGGCUCAUUAAAUCAGUUAUCGUUUAUUUGAUAGUACCUUACUACUUGGAUAACCGUGGUAAUUCUAGAGCUAAUACAUGCUAAAAACCCCAACUUCGGGAGGGGUGUAUUUAUUAGAUAAAAAACCAAUGCCCUUCGGGGCUCCUUUGGUGAUUCAUGAUAACUUCUCAGAUCGCAUGGCUUUACGCCGGCGACGGUUCAUUCAAAUUUCUGCCCUAUCAACUUUCGAUGGUAAGGUAUUGGCUUACCAUGGUUUCAACGGGUAACGGGGAAUUAGGGUUCGAUUCCGGAGAGGGAGCCUGAGAAACGGCUACCACAUCCAAGGAAGGCAGCAGGCGCGCAAAUUACCCAAUUCCGAUACGGAGAGGUAGUGACAAUAAAUACUGAUACAGGGCUCUUUUGGGUCUUGUAAUUGGAAUGAGUACAAUUUAAACCUCUUAACGAGGAACAAUUGGAGGGCAAGUCUGGUGCCAGCAGCCGCGGUAAUUCCAGCUCCAAUAGCGUAUAUUAAAGUUGUUGCAGUUAAAAAGCUCGUAGUUGAACCUUUGGCCUGGCUGGCAGGUCCGCCUCACCGCGUGCACUUGUCCGGCCGGGCCUUUUCUUCUGGAGAACCGCAUGCCCUUCACUGGGUGUGUUGGGGACCAGGACUUUUACUUUGAAAAAAUUAGAGUGUUCAAAGCAGGCCUUUGCUCGAAUACGUUAGCAUGGAAUAAUAGAAUAGGACGUGCGGUCCUAUUUUGUUGGUUUCUAGGACCGCCGUAAUGAUUAAUAGGGACAGUCGGGGGCAUCAGUAUUCAAUUGUCAGAGGUGAAAUUCUUGGAUUUAUUGAAGACUAACUACUGCGAAAGCAUUUGCCAAGGAUGUUUUCAUUAAUCAGUGAACGAAAGUUAGGGGAUCGAAGACGAUCAGAUACCGUCGUAGUCUUAACCAUAAACUAUGCCGACUAGGGAUCGGGCGGUGUUUUCUAUUGUGACCCGCUCGGCACCUUACGAGAAAUCAAAGUGUUUGGGAUCUGGGGGGGAGUUAUGGUCCGCAAGGCUGAAACUUAAAGAAAAUUGACGGAAAAAA